This is a long non-coding RNA of Telopea speciosissima, 94 nucleotides long. RefSeq lists it as uncharacterized. The record is from RefSeq and is a predicted model, not a curated record. Lineage: Eukaryota; Viridiplantae; Streptophyta; Magnoliopsida; Proteales; Proteaceae. The transcript has 3 exons.
UAUGGGGUGACUAAGCAGGGCACAUAGUACUGUAAAGGCCCAAAUUGUAGGUGUACUCGAACUACUGUAGUGGCCUCUUCUCGAGCUGUAGUUC